GACGAACGCUGGCGGCGUGCCUAAUACAUGCAAGUCGAACGCUUCACUUCGGUGAAGAGCGGAGAACGGGUGAGUAAUACAUAAGUAACCUGGCAUCUACAGGGGGAUAACUGAUGGAAACGUCAGCUAAGACCGCAUAGGUGUAGAGAUCGCAGGAACUCGAUAUGAAAAGUGCUACGGGACUGGUAGAUGAUGGACUUAUGGCGCAUUAGCUGGUUGGUAGGGUAACGGCCUACCAAGGCGACGAUGCGUAGCCGACCUGAGAGGGUGACCGGCCACACUGGGACUGAGACACGGCCCAGACUCCUACGGGAGGCAGCAGUAGGGAAUUUUCGGCAAUGGGGGAAACCCUGACCGAGCAACGCCGCGUGAAGGAAGAAGUAAUUCGUUAUGUAAACUUCUGUCAUAGAGGAAGAACGGUGGAUAUAGGGAAUGAUAUCCAAGUGACGGUACUCUAUAAGAAAGCCACGGCUAACUACGUGCCAGCAGCCGCCGUAA
RNAcentral lists this ribosomal RNA (498 nucleotides) under uncultured bacterium. Its description in RNAcentral is "partial 16S ribosomal RNA". It matches the Rfam family "Bacterial small subunit ribosomal RNA", at positions 28 to 523 of the family's 1533-position model. The record is from RNAcentral.